GGGCUCCAGGGACCGGAUCCGACUGCUGCAGUUCGGGCCUUAUUUUAGGGUGAAGCCCGGGCAGCCGACCCGGCUGCGCCGUAGUGGGAGGCCACGGCGAUUAUCCAGGUGAAGGUCUUCCAGCCCAGCCCUGGAAGGUGGAAGAAGAAAAGUUGACAUGGAAUGUUUGGGAAGCACCGCUGGUCCAGGUCCAGGAUCGGGGCAGCCAGCAUGUCCUCUAAUCUGGCCUCACUGUUGAAAUCCAGUCGAGCAGGCAGGGCCCAAACCACUGCGAGACCAGCUCGGUCGGGCGCAAACCACCGCCCACUGCGGGACCAGCUCGGUCGGGCGCAAACCACCGCCCACUGCGGGACCAGCUCGGUCGGGCCCAAACCACCGUCCACUGCGGGACCAGCUCGGUCGGGCCCAAACCACUGCCCGCUGCGGGACCAGCUCGGUCGGGCCCAAACCACUGCGCACUGUGGGACCAGCUCGGUCGUGGAGACCCUAACCCAGCGGCGCUAGAGGAAUUAAAGACACACACACAGAAAUAUAGGUACCUCACGAGGGUUUUUUGCAUGUCUGAUACCUACGGCUCCAACAGGACCCACUGACUGAUGAUGGCUCCACCUGGACCUGCCAACUACUCCUGCAGCCCCACCCAGAAGCGGUUCAGCACACGGGAGGAUCCUGUCUCACACCCUACGAUGGCCCCCUGCCCCCGCAACCCAUCAGCAGCAAGCACCCACUGCCAAGCUACCCCACCCCUUCCCCCAAACU
RNAcentral lists this long non-coding RNA (759 nucleotides) under Pan troglodytes (chimpanzee). RNAcentral's name for it is "lincRNA". Lineage: Eukaryota; Metazoa; Chordata; Mammalia; Primates; Hominidae. The record is from RNAcentral.